Alligator mississippiensis (American alligator) is the source of this 1122-nucleotide long non-coding RNA. RefSeq lists it as uncharacterized. The record is from RefSeq and is a predicted model, not a curated record. Lineage: Eukaryota; Metazoa; Chordata; Crocodylia; Alligatoridae. The transcript has 3 exons.
UCCUCUAAGCCUGGUCCUGGCUCUGGUCGGUGGCCCCAGGCCUUUUUUGUGACUCUAGGCUGUCACCACUGGGGAAGACAGCUUGUACUGGCAUCUCUCCUUCCUCUUAGCCUCCUUGCAUGGUGGCUCAUGCUUUCUGCGCUGCCUUGAGAGAGAGCAAGGCCCCAUGGACCGCGCGCAGGCAGCCCCUGUGGCAGGGUGCGUGGAGAGUGCCACACGUUGCAGGGCAGCUGCCUCCCUCCAAAAGGCUCGGGCACAGAGAUGGAGGGAGAAUUCCCCUGUCCCAGAGGCUUCUCCUUCCUCCGGCGUGCCCUCGUGCUGUGGGACGGACUCUGGAUUUGGGAGGCUCCUGCCUCACGCCUGCUGGAUGUGUCAUUCGUGGAAAGUGUGGGCGCCCGCUCUGGAAACGGAUUGUGUUCCCGGAGCCCUUGACGUGGGCCUUUGUCUUCGUUACGUGCCCCUUGUAACAUUUCCUGACAAAUUAAACGCAGCACAGCAGCCGGCCCCAUCUGCAGCAGAGCAGACACGGAUGGAGGGUGAAAUGGGGACAGCUGCAGUUGCAGUCCACAGUAAAUGACAGCACAGAGGGAGAGAAGCAAUAGGGUGUUUUCAGCUGAGAUCCCCAAAGUGACAAGGUGAGAAGACGCAGGGAGCCUGUUCUACCGCAGGAGCCAUGGAGAAGGAGGAUCUUGUCUUGGCGGUGGGUGACCGUGCCGCCUGGCAUGGGGAGGAAGCGGGUGCUGGGUGAGCGAAGGGAAAUGAAGAGGGAAGUUGCUGUGAUGGUGGCAAGAAGAAGUAAGAAAUGACUAAUUGGGCUCCAGUCCAACACAUCCUCCCUCUUGGUCCCCGGUCAUGCAUCAGGGCCAUCCUGGGCUGAAUACUCGCAUGUGUGCAGCCUGAACUAGAGUUGCUCCAUAGCAAAGUCACCUGUUUUGUGGAUGCAUCUGUGAAUGGGGCAUGCGAUGCGUCCUGAGCUGCAGGUGCUGUGGUUGGUUUCCCCAAGGGAUCCUAGGAGGAUCCUCCAGGAUGAGUGGAUCCAGGCCCUGGUGGGGCAGAGCUGAAGGACUCGCCUCGUGCCUUUGCUCUCUCUCGUGUCCCCUCCCCUUCCUUUUCUCUGAAGCG